Molecule: ribosomal RNA, 253 nt
Filed under: uncultured bacterium
Lineage: Bacteria
Description: partial 16S ribosomal RNA
Rfam family: Bacterial small subunit ribosomal RNA
Source: RNAcentral
UACAGAGGUCUCGAGCGUUAGGCGGAAUCACUGGGCUUAAAGCGUGUGUAGGCGGAUCGGUAAGUACCUUGUGAAAUCUCACAGCUUAACUGUGGAACUGCUUGGUAUACUGCCAGUCUUGAGCCACUUAGGGGCUACCGGAACAAAUGGUGGAGCGGUGAAAUGCGUAGAUAUCAUUUGGAACGCCAAUGGUGAAAACAGGUAGCUGGGAGUGUGCCGACGCUGAGACACGAAAGCCAGGGGAGCAAACGGG